RNAcentral lists this ribosomal RNA (2904 nucleotides) under Escherichia coli. RNAcentral describes it as "23S ribosomal RNA". It matches the Rfam family "Bacterial large subunit ribosomal RNA". The record is from RNAcentral. Lineage: Bacteria; Pseudomonadati; Pseudomonadota; Gammaproteobacteria; Enterobacterales; Enterobacteriaceae.
GGUUAAGCGACUAAGCGUACACGGUGGAUGCCCUGGCAGUCAGAGGCGAUGAAGGACGUGCUAAUCUGCGAUAAGCGUCGGUAAGGUGAUAUGAACCGUUAUAACCGGCGAUUUCCGAAUGGGGAAACCCAGUGUGAUUCGUCACACUAUCAUUAACUGAAUCCAUAGGUUAAUGAGGCGAACCGGGGGAACUGAAACAUCUAAGUACCCCGAGGAAAAGAAAUCAACCGAGAUUCCCCCAGUAGCGGCGAGCGAACGGGGAGCAGCCCAGAGCCUGAAUCAGUGUGUGUGUUAGUGGAAGCGUCUGGAAAGGCGCGCGAUACAGGGUGACAGCCCCGUACACAAAAAUGCACAUGCUGUGAGCUCGAUGAGUAGGGCGGGACACGUGGUAUCCUGUCUGAAUAUGGGGGGACCAUCCUCCAAGGCUAAAUACUCCUGACUGACCGAUAGUGAACCAGUACCGUGAGGGAAAGGCGAAAAGAACCCCGGCGAGGGGAGUGAAAAAGAACCUGAAACCGUGUACGUACAAGCAGUGGGAGCACGCUUAGGCGUGUGACUGCGUACCUUUUGUAUAAUGGGUCAGCGACUUAUAUUCUGUAGCAAGGUUAACCGAAUAGGGGAGCCGAAGGGAAACCGAGUCUUAACUGGGCGUUAAGUUGCAGGGUAUAGACCCGAAACCCGGUGAUCUAGCCAUGGGCAGGUUGAAGGUUGGGUAACACUAACUGGAGGACCGAACCGACUAAUGUUGAAAAAUUAGCGGAUGACUUGUGGCUGGGGGUGAAAGGCCAAUCAAACCGGGAGAUAGCUGGUUCUCCCCGAAAGCUAUUUAGGUAGCGCCUCGUGAAUUCAUCUCCGGGGGUAGAGCACUGUUUCGGCAAGGGGGUCAUCCCGACUUACCAACCCGAUGCAAACUGCGAAUACCGGAGAAUGUUAUCACGGGAGACACACGGCGGGUGCUAACGUCCGUCGUGAAGAGGGAAACAACCCAGACCGCCAGCUAAGGUCCCAAAGUCAUGGUUAAGUGGGAAACGAUGUGGGAAGGCCCAGACAGCCAGGAUGUUGGCUUAGAAGCAGCCAUCAUUUAAAGAAAGCGUAAUAGCUCACUGGUCGAGUCGGCCUGCGCGGAAGAUGUAACGGGGCUAAACCAUGCACCGAAGCUGCGGCAGCGACGCUUAUGCGUUGUUGGGUAGGGGAGCGUUCUGUAAGCCUGUGAAGGUGUGCUGUGAGGCAUGCUGGAGGUAUCAGAAGUGCGAAUGCUGACAUAAGUAACGAUAAAGCGGGUGAAAAGCCCGCUCGCCGGAAGACCAAGGGUUCCUGUCCAACGUUAAUCGGGGCAGGGUGAGUCGACCCCUAAGGCGAGGCCGAAAGGCGUAGUCGAUGGGAAACAGGUUAAUAUUCCUGUACUUGGUGUUACUGCGAAGGGGGGACGGAGAAGGCUAUGUUGGCCGGGCGACGGUUGUCCCGGUUUAAGCGUGUAGGCUGGUUUUCCAGGCAAAUCCGGAAAAUCAAGGCUGAGGCGUGAUGACGAGGCACUACGGUGCUGAAGCAACAAAUGCCCUGCUUCCAGGAAAAGCCUCUAAGCAUCAGGUAACAUCAAAUCGUACCCCAAACCGACACAGGUGGUCAGGUAGAGAAUACCAAGGCGCUUGAGAGAACUCGGGUGAAGGAACUAGGCAAAAUGGUGCCGUAACUUCGGGAGAAGGCACGCUGAUAUGUAGGUGAAGUCCCUCGCGGAUGGAGCUGAAAUCAGUCGAAGAUACCAGCUGGCUGCAACUGUUUAUUAAAAACACAGCACUGUGCAAACACGAAAGUGGACGUAUACGGUGUGACGCCUGCCCGGUGCCGGAAGGUUAAUUGAUGGGGUCAGCGCAAGCGAAGCUCUUGAUCGAAGCCCCGGUAAACGGCGGCCGUAACUAUAACGGUCCUAAGGUAGCGAAAUUCCUUGUCGGGUAAGUUCCGACCUGCACGAAUGGCGUAAUGAUGGCCAGGCUGUCUCCACCCGAGACUCAGUGAAAUUGAACUCGCUGUGAAGAUGCAGUGUACCCGCGGCAAGACGGAAAGACCCCGUGAACCUUUACUAUAGCUUGACACUGAACAUUGAGCCUUGAUGUGUAGGAUAGGUGGGAGGCUUUGAAGUGUGGACGCCAGUCUGCAUGGAGCCGACCUUGAAAUACCACCCUUUAAUGUUUGAUGUUCUAACGUUGACCCGUGAUCCGGGUUGCGGACAGUGUCUGGUGGGUAGUUUGACUGGGGCGGUCUCCUCCUAAAGAGUAACGGAGGAGCACGAAGGUUGGCUAAUCCUGGUCGGACAUCAGGAGGUUAGUGCAAUGGCAUAAGCCAGCUUGACUGCGAGCGUGACGGCGCGAGCAGGUGCGAAAGCAGGUCAUAGUGAUCCGGUGGUUCUGAAUGGAAGGGCCAUCGCUCAACGGAUAAAAGGUACUCCGGGGAUAACAGGCUGAUACCGCCCAAGAGUUCAUAUCGACGGCGGUGUUUGGCACCUCGAUGUCGGCUCAUCACAUCCUGGGGCUGAAGUAGGUCCCAAGGGUAUGGCUGUUCGCCAUUUAAAGUGGUACGCGAGCUGGGUUUAGAACGUCGUGAGACAGUUCGGUCCCUAUCUGCCGUGGGCGCUGGAGAACUGAGGGGGGCUGCUCCUAGUACGAGAGGACCGGAGUGGACGCAUCACUGGUGUUCGGGUUGUCAUGCCAAUGGCACUGCCCGGUAGCUAAAUGCGGAAGAGAUAAGUGCUGAAAGCAUCUAAGCACGAAACUUGCCCCGAGAUGAGUUCUCCCUGACUCCUUGAGAGUCCUGAAGGAACGUUGAAGACGACGACGUUGAUAGGCCGGGUGUGUAAGCGCAGCGAUGCGUUGAGCUAACCGGUACUAAUGAACCGUGAGGCUUAACCUU